UCUUUUUAAGUCAUCCUUAAAUUUCCCACCUAUUACUGUCGUUCAUAUUUCAACAAUUAUUAUUCCCAGAAUUUUCCUGGAAUUUUACAGAAUUCAUCUACAUUUUGAAUCGUUGCUUCCUCGAUCCUCGAUAUUUAAUAUGUAUUUUAGAAUUACUGCAAUGUACAAUGUAGUGUAUAAUCGAACAACCGAUGCUCGAUACACGGAAUGUAACGUAACACUAUCGACAAGAGAAGCAAAAUUAAACGUGUAUCGUUGUUAUAACGCGGAAUGUUAAAACAUCCCUUGCUUCCAUCGAAUAAUUAGUCAGAAAUUAUUACCAAUAAUAAUUUCGUUCGGAAAACAGAGCUUUCCCCUCGUUCUCCCCCGCAUUAUAUCUCCUCGUAUUUUUCGUUUAACCAAGCAACAAAAUAGUCACCGUUCGAGCGCAUUGACAUGCAGAAAUAGCUUCGUCACUAAUUUCCGUCUAACAAUCCCUUCCUCCUCGCCAUUUGUACACUUGAUGAAGAAAGAUUGCGCAACAAUGUGGCGUUAACGCGGUCACGGUGUUCGAGGAAAAUCACGCCCCUAUUCCGCUUUCAAAAUGGUAACGAGAGACGGUAAGAUUGAAGAGGGAUUUUAAACGCCCCCCUCCCCCUUGUUGAGGAACUCGAAUGUCCGAAUGGUUGAAACCGGUGGGAAAACAAAGCGAUUAAACGCAUCGGAUCUCUCGAAUCGUGCCAUUUUUACCAUUUAGGAUGGGAUGAAAAAAUGUUUCUUUUUCCUUUUCCCUAUGUUUCAUUUUUUUUUUCCUUCCUUCCUUUCCUUUCCUUUCCUUUCCUUUUUUCCUUUUUCGUUGGGAAUUACGAACGCAGAUUUAAUUGCGACGCGGAGUCGACUCGUUGAAAGUUCCUACGAAGCGGGAAACGAAACGCUGGCAAUCUUGCGUUCCGGUUGACCUGAAUUCCCCCGUUGGUGGAAACGGACGGCCCCCUCUAUAGAGUCGGGGAACAAAGAUAUCAAGGUUUUGUUCGGAGGGCAUAGGUAUACCGAGACGAAAUGGGAGCAAAAGAGUGUCCGACCGGGGGAAGCAGUAAAUUAAAAAUACAACGGGUGCUCGCGUGUCGGCCCGGAUUUUAAACGGUCCCGUUUACCUGUCUGCCGAAAAAACGGGGGGGAAAAAGAAGAGGAGGGAGAUAGAGAGAGAGAGAGA
Long non-coding RNA from Apis florea (little honeybee), 1192 nucleotides. NCBI's taxonomy places the organism in Eukaryota, Metazoa, Arthropoda, Insecta, Hymenoptera, Apidae. The record is from RefSeq and is a predicted model, not a curated record.